Long non-coding RNA from Megalobrama amblycephala (Wuchang bream), 2034 nucleotides. RefSeq lists it as uncharacterized. The record is from RefSeq and is a predicted model, not a curated record. The transcript is spliced from 3 exons. NCBI's taxonomy places the organism in Eukaryota, Metazoa, Chordata, Actinopteri, Cypriniformes, Xenocyprididae.
CACCAUCAGUGCGUUUUACUGAGGUAAAUUACUUUAUUACUUAACCAAUUUAGUUAAAUUACUUUGUAUAAGGCCGACAAUAAAAGUAAAUGAUAUUUAAAACUAUUCAGAAAAAAAGUAAUAAAAUGUAAUUAUAAUAAGUUAUUAUAAUAAACAGUCUGAGGGAAUAGUUCGUUUUUCUGAGGGAAACCUUCACUAAAAUAAAUAGCGGCCGUUUUCAUUCAUGAAACCCAUUAAAUUGUAAUAAAAAAGGGACUGUCUUUUUGGGAAAAUGUGUAGUAUAUUUACCGAAAAAGACACACAGACAACGACUUUCGCCGUUAAAUGCCGUUACAGCAAGGUGACGUCACCGCUUAUGGAGCCAAUCCGCUCCGUUUGAGAGACGCUCUUUCGUUUCAGUUAUCUACUGUUAACGUUACUUAAAAAGAGUAUAAGAGUAUUUUUUUUAACCAAUUAUUCUUAAUAAUGUCUUCGUUAUUCAUAUUUGUAUGGAAAGUAGUGCGUUGUCACAGGUUUGACAGCGAGCGCGUGAGCUCCGUCUCUCUCUCUCUCUCUCUCUCACAAGCUGGCGCGUGCACCUAAAGAGGGAAGAGACAUAAGAGACUCAUAAGCCUUUACACCUGUGUGAAAUCUUUUAUUCCUCAUUUUGUAACAACAAAAAAUAUAAUAGAACAUAUUAUUAUUAAUAAUGAUAAUAAUGUUAUUCUCAAAAAUGAAAAAGCAUUUUAAUGUGGCUUAUUUGUAGUGGGCUGUAAGGUCUCAUCAAAUACAUUGCUCUGUAUUCUGCUCAUUUUGAUAUUAUCAGAUUUUACACAAUUCAUCAGAGCCUUUAAAAACGUUGGGAAUUUAUACAAUGAAAAUAAUUAUUCUCUUCUCUCUUUUUUUUCAGUGUUGAUUGCCCUCUGAUUGUUGUAAGUGAAAAUAGUAGAAGCCAACCUACAUCUCUGAUUUGCCAGUUUCAUCAUAACAUACUAAUUCCUCAAUAAUCACCGAAAACAUUUUUAUUUUUAAAGACAUAAGACUCAUAUUCAGUCCUCUUUCUUUUCUUUUUCUUUCUUUCGCUUGUGUCUUCAGCAGCUACAUAGACCCAAAGGCUCUUUUAAGAGCCACAUCACGAGAGCGUCUUUGGCUUUGUAAGUAUACAUUUUGACUGACUGUCAAAUAACUCAGUAUUUGAGCUUAGAUCAAUUAAAGCAACAUCAUGCAGCAUGUUAGUAAUAUCUUAAGACAUUAAGGGGGUUGGUUCUUAUUAAUAUAUUUAUUUAUUUUUAAGUAAAUGAGCAUAUAAAUAAAUAAACUAGCAUCCAGCAUCUCUGAUUUGCCAGUUUCAUCAUAACAUACUAAUUCCUCAAUAAUCACCGAUGAAACUGAAAACAUUUUAAUUUGUACAGACAUAAGACUCAUAUUCAGUCCUCUUUCUUUUUUCUUUCGCUUGUGUCUUCAGCAGCUACAUAGACCCAAAGGCUCUUUUAAGAGCCACAUUACGAGAGCGUCUUUGGCUUUGUAAGUAUACAUUUUGACUGACUGUCAAAUAACUCAGUAUUUGAGCUUAGAUCAAUUAAAGCAACAUCAUGCAGCAUGUUAGUAAUAUCUUAAGACAUUAAGGGGGUUGGUUCUUAUUAAUAUAUUUAUUUAUUUUUAAGUAAAUGAGCAUAUAAAUAAAUAAACUAGCAUCCAGCAUCUCUGAUUUGCCAGUUUCAUCAUAACAUACUAAUUUCUCAAUAAUCACCAAUGAAACUGAAAACAUUUUCAUUUGUACAGACAUAAGACUCAUAUUCAGUCCUCUUUCUUUUCUUUUUCUUUCGCUUGUGUCUUCAGCAGCUACAUAGACCCAAAGGCUCUUUUAAGAGCCACAUCACGAGAGCGUCUUUGGCUUUCCCCCAUCUCAGCCUCUGCAGUCUGAUCUUUUCAUAGACAUUAUCAAACUGCCUGACUGAGACAUUACACAAUGAGUGAGGAAAAGAGAGAGAAAGAAAGGCAAUAUCUGAGAUCUUGGAGAGCUGCCAAACGUGUUUUUAAAAAAAUAGAAAAACA